Molecule: ribosomal RNA, 253 nt
Filed under: uncultured bacterium
Lineage: Bacteria
Description: partial 16S ribosomal RNA
Rfam family: Bacterial small subunit ribosomal RNA
Source: RNAcentral
UACGAAGGGUGCAAGCGUUACUCGGAAUUACUGGGCGUAAAGCGUGCGUAGGUGGUUUGUUAAGUCUGAUGUGAAAGCCCUGGGCUCAACCUGGGAAUUGCAUUGGAUACUGGCAGGCUAGAGUGCGGUAGAGGAUGGCGGAAUUCCCGGUGUAGCAGUGAAAUGCGUAGAUAUCGGGAGGAACACCAGUGGCGAAGGCGACUACCUGGACCAGCACUGACACUGAGGCACGAAAGCGUGGGGAGCAAACAGG